UGGGGAAUAUUGGACAAUGGGGGCAACCCUGAUCCAGCAAUGCCGCGUGUGUGAAGAAGGUCUUCGGAUUGUAAAGCACUUUCGACGGGGACGAUGAUGACGGUACCCGUAGAAGAAGCCCCGGCUAACUUCGUGCCAGCAGCCGCGGUAAUACGAAGGGGGCUAGCGUUGCUCGGAAUGACUGGGCGUAAAGGGCGUGUAGGCGGUUUACACAGUCAGAUGUGAAAUCCCCGGGCUUAACCUGGGAGCUGCAUUUGAUACGUGUAGACUAGAGUGUGAGAGAGGGUUGUGGAAUUCCCAGUGUAGAGGUGAAAUUCGUAGAUAUUGGGAAGAACACCGGUGGCGAAGGCGGCAACCUGGCUCAUGACUGACGCUGAGGCGCGAAAGCGUGGGGAGCAAACAGGUUAGAUACCCUGGUAGUCCACGCUGUAAACGAUGUGUGCUAGAUGUUGGGUAACUUUG
RNAcentral lists this ribosomal RNA (462 nucleotides) under uncultured bacterium. RNAcentral describes it as "partial 16S ribosomal RNA". It matches the Rfam family "Bacterial small subunit ribosomal RNA", at positions 355 to 835 of the family's 1533-position model. The record is from RNAcentral.